Molecule: ribosomal RNA, 253 nt
Filed under: uncultured bacterium
Lineage: Bacteria
Description: partial 16S ribosomal RNA
Rfam family: Bacterial small subunit ribosomal RNA
Source: RNAcentral
UACGUAGGUGGCAAGCGUUGUCCGGAUUUACUGGGCGUAAAGAGCGCGCAGGCGGUCGUUCAAGUCGCGUGUGAAAGCCCCCGGCUCAACUGGGGAGGGUCACGCGAUACUGAUCGACUCGAAGGCAGGAGAGGGUAGUGGAAUUCCCGGUGUAGUGGUGAAAUGCGUAAAUAUCGGGAGGAACACCAGUGGCGAAGGCGACUACCUGGCCUGUUCUUGACGCUGAGGCGCGAAAGCUAGGGGAGCAAACGGG